GCGGGCGUGGCGGAAUUGGUAGACGCGCUGGUUUUAGGUACCAGUGUCCUCGUGACGUGGGGGUUCAAAUCCCUCCGCCCGCA
This 83-nucleotide transfer RNA is filed under the name Rhodothalassium salexigens DSM 2132. It matches the Rfam family "tRNA". Rfam says of the family: Transfer RNA (tRNA) molecules are approximately 80 nucleotides in length. Their secondary structure includes four short double-helical elements and three loops (D, anti-codon, and T loops). The record is from Rfam by way of RNAcentral. Lineage: Bacteria; Pseudomonadati; Pseudomonadota; Alphaproteobacteria; Rhodothalassiales; Rhodothalassiaceae.